UUAAGCGACUAAGCGUACACGGUGGAUGCCCUGGCAGUCAGAGGCGAUGAAGGACGUGCUAAUCUGCGAAAAGCGUCGGUAAGGUGAUAUGAACCGUUAUAACCGGCGAUGUCCGAAUGGGGAAACCCAGUGCAAUUCGUUGCACUAUCGUUAACUGAAUACAUAGGUUAACGAGGCGAACCGGGGGAACUGAAACAUCUAAGUACCCCGAGGAAAAGAAAUCAACCGAGAUUCCCCCAGUAGCGGCGAGCGAACGGGGAGCAGCCCAGAGUCUGAAUCAGCUUGUGUGUUAGUGGAACGGUCUGGAAAGUCCGACGGUACAGGGUGAUAGUCCCGUACACCAAAAUGCACAGGCUGUGAACUCGAAGAGUAGGGCGGGACACGUGGUAUCCUGUCUGAAUAUGGGGGGACCAUCCUCCAAGGCUAAAUACUCCUGACUGACCGAUAGUGAACCAGUACCGUGAGGGAAAGGCGAAAAGAACCCCGGCGAGGGGAGUGAAAAAGAACCUGAAACCGUGUACGUACAAGCAGUGGGAGCACCUUCGGGUGUGACUGCGUACCUUUUGUAUAAUGGGUCAGCGACUUAUAUUCUGUAGCAAGGUUAACCGUAUAGGGGAGCCGCAGGGAAACCGAGUCUUAACUGGGCGUUAAGUUGCAGGGUAUAGACCCGAAACCCGGUGAUCUAGCCAUGGGCAGGUUGAAGGUUGGGUAACACUAACUGGAGGACCGAACCGACUAAUGUUGAAAAAUUAGCGGAUGACUUGUGGCUGGGGGUGAAAGGCCAAUCAAACCGGGAGAUAGCUGGUUCUCCCCGAAAGCUAUUUAGGUAGCGCCUCGUGAACUCAUCUUCGGGGGUAGAGCACUGUUUCGGCUAGGGGGUCAUCCCGACUUACCAACCCGAUGCAAACUACGAAUACCGAAGAAUGUUAUCACGGGAGACACACGGCGGGUGCUAACGUCCGUCGUGAAGAGGGAAACAACCCAGACCGCCAGCUAAGGUCCCAAAGUCAUGGUUAAGUGGGAAACGAUGUGGGAAGGCACAGACAGCCAGGAUGUUGGCUUAGAAGCAGCCAUCAUUUAAAGAAAGCGUAAUAGCUCACUGGUCGAGUCGGCCUGCGCGGAAGAUGUAACGGGGCUAAACCAUGCACCGAAGCUGCGGCAGCGACACUAUGUGUUGUUGGGUAGGGGAGCGUUCUGUAAGCCUGCGAAGGUGUGCUGUGAGGCAUGCUGGAGGUAUCAGAAGUGCGAAUGCUGACAUAAGUAACGAUAAAGCGGGUGAAAAGCCCGCUCGCCGGAAGACCAAGGGUUCCUGUCCAACGUUAAUCGGGGCAGGGUGAGUCGACCCCUAAGGCGAGGCCGAAAGGCGUAGUCGAUGGGAAACAGGUUAAUAUUCCUGUACUUGGUGUUACUGCGAAGGGGGGACGGAGAAGGCUAUGUUAGCCGGGCGACGGUUGUCCCGGUUUAAGCAUGUAGGCUGGUUAUCCAGGCAAAUCCGGAUAAUCAAGGCUGAGGUGUGAUGACGAGGCACUACGGUGCUGAAGUAACAAAUGCCCUGCUUCCAGGAAAAGCCUCUAAGCAUCAGGUAACAUCAAAUCGUACCCCAAACCGACACAGGUGGUCAGGUAGAGAAUACCAAGGCGCUUGAGAGAACUCGGGUGAAGGAACUAGGCAAAAUGGUGCCGUAACUUCGGGAGAAGGCACGCUGGUGUGUAGGUGAAGUCCCUGCGGAUGGAGCUGAGACCAGUCGAAGAUACCAGCUGGCUGCAACUGUUUAUUAAAAACACAGCACUGUGCAAACACGAAAGUGGACGUAUACGGUGUGACGCCUGCCCGGUGCCGGAAGGUUAAUUGAUGGGGUUAUCCGUAAGGAGAAGCUCUUGAUCGAAGCCCCGGUAAACGGCGGCCGUAACUAUAACGGUCCUAAGGUAGCGAAAUUCCUUGUCGGGUAAGUUCCGACCUGCACGAAUGGCGUAAUGAUGGCCAGGCUGUCUCCACCCGAGACUCAGUGAAAUUGAACUCGCUGUGAAGAUGCAGUGUACCCGCGGCAAGACGGAAAGACCCCGUGAACCUUUACUAUAGCUUGACACUGAACAUUGAGCCUUGAUGUGUAGGAUAGGUGGGAGGCUUUGAAGCGUGGACGCCAGUCUGCGUGGAGCCAACCUUGAAAUACCACCCUUUAAUGUUUGAUGUUCUAACGUUGGCCCCUGACCGGGGUUGCGGACAGUGUCUGGUGGGUAGUUUGACUGGGGCGGUCUCCUCCCAAAGCGUAACGGAGGAGCACGAAGGUUAGCUAAUCCUGGUCGGACAUCAGGAGGUUAGUGCAAUGGCAUAAGCUAGCUUGACUGCGAGCGUGACGGCGCGAGCAGGUGCGAAAGCAGGUCAUAGUGAUCCGGUGGUUCUGAAUGGAAGGGCCAUCGCUCAACGGAUAAAAGGUACUCCGGGGAUAACAGGCUGAUACCGCCCAAGAGUUCAUAUCGACGGCGGUGUUUGGCACCUCGAUGUCGGCUCAUCACAUCCUGGGGCUGAAGUAGGUCCCAAGGGUAUGGCUGUUCGCCAUUUAAAGUGGUACGCGAGCUGGGUUUAGAACGUCGUGAGACAGUUCGGUCCCUAUCUGCCGUGGGCGCUGGAGAAUUGAGGGGGGCUGCUCCUAGUACGAGAGGACCGGAGUGGACGCAUCACUGGUGUUCGGGUUGUCAUGCCAAUGGCACUGCCCGGUAGCUAAAUGCGGAAGAGAUAAGUGCUGAAAGCAUCUAAGCACGAAACUUGCCCCGAGAUGAGUUCUCCCUGAGACUAUAAGUCUCCUGAAGGAACGUUAAAGACGAUGACGUUGAUAGGCCGGGUGUGUAAGCGCAGCGAUGCGUUGAGCUAACCGGUACUAAUGAACCGUGAGGCUUAACCUU
Molecule: ribosomal RNA, 2900 nt
Filed under: Klebsiella pneumoniae
Lineage: Bacteria; Pseudomonadati; Pseudomonadota; Gammaproteobacteria; Enterobacterales; Enterobacteriaceae
Also listed under: 3 other names
Description: bacterial LSU rRNA
Rfam family: Bacterial large subunit ribosomal RNA
Source: RNAcentral